RNAcentral lists this ribosomal RNA (429 nucleotides) under Actinomycetes bacterium. Its description in RNAcentral is "Actinobacteria bacterium partial 16S ribosomal RNA". It matches the Rfam family "Bacterial small subunit ribosomal RNA", at positions 355 to 776 of the family's 1533-position model. The record is from RNAcentral. Lineage: Bacteria; Bacillati; Actinomycetota; Actinomycetes.
UAGGGAAUCUUCCGCAAUGGGCGAAAGCCUGACGGAGCAACGCCGCGUGAGUGAUGAAGGUCUUCGGAUCGUAAAACUCUGUUAUUAGGGAAGAACAAAUGUGUAAGUAACUAUGCACGUCUUGACGGUACCUAAUCAGAAAGCCACGGCUAACUACGUGCCAGCAGCCGCGGUAAUACGUAGGUGGCAAGCGUUAUCCGGAAUUAUUGGGCGUAAAGCGCGCGUAGGCGGUUUUUUAAGUCUGAUGUGAAAGCCCACGGCUCAACCGUGGAGGGUCGUUGGAAACUGGAAAACUUGAGUGCAGAAGAGGAAAGUGGAAUUCCAUGUGUGGCGGUGAAAUGCGCAGAGAUAUGGAGGAACACCAGUGGCGAAGGCGACUUUCUGGUCUGUAACUGACGCUGAUGUGCGAAAGCGUGGGGAUCAAACAGG